This 2377-nucleotide ribosomal RNA is filed under the name freshwater metagenome. RNAcentral describes it as "bacterial LSU rRNA". It matches the Rfam family "Bacterial large subunit ribosomal RNA". The record is from RNAcentral.
AAGAAGGGGCGAUGAAGGAAGCUUAGGGUUAGUGAAAAGGACGGAAGAGAAAGAAAACCUAAAGGAGGAGAGAAGAAUUUAGGGAAUCCGAAGAGGGAAACCUCAGAAAAGAAAACCUGGGGAACUGAAACAUCUAAGUACCCAGAGGAAAAGAAAUCAAGAGAGAUACGUGAAGUAGUGGCGAGCGAACCACGAGAAGUCAAAAGCGAAAAAGCCAGAACAAAGAGGGUAAACGAGCCCCGUAAGGCGAAGAAAGCGAAAGAGAGAGUAGAACAUCAGGGCGAAGUUUGAAGAAAGGGGAACCAAACCUCUAAGACUAAAUAGAAACUAACACCGAUAGAGAACGAGUAACGUGAGUGAAAAGUGAAAAGGAUAGCAAGGCUAAGGUGAAAAAGACCCGGAAAUCAUCGAAACCAGAGCAGUCAGGGAAAGAAUGACGUACCUUUUGUAUAAUGGAUUUGCAAGAGAUAUUAGGUGGGCGAGCGAAAGCGAAGUGAGAACGAAGAAGUCCACGAAUAUGGGACCCGAAACCAAGUGAUCUAUGCAUGAGCAGUUUGAAAGCACCCUAAGAAGGUGAAGGAGGAACGAACUCGUGAUUGUAGCAAUAAUCUGGGAAGACUUGUGCAUAGAGGUGAAAUGCCAAUCGAACUUGGAGAUAGCUGGUUUUCUGCGAAAGCUAUAAAGGUAGCGCGUUUCAAAUAUCUGUAUAGAAGUGUAAGGCACUAGAAGAUUCAAGAGAGUAAAAACCCAAGAAUAGCUAAACAGAGAAAAGGAAUAGACAGACUUAGAGCGAUAAGGUCCUAGGUCGAGAGGGAAACAACCCAGAACCAAAGUUAAGGUCAUGAAGAGGAUCGAAAAGUGUAAGGAAAGUUCUCCGACGAAGACACCUAAGAAGUAGGCUUGGAAACAGCCAGCUAGAAAGAACACGUAACAGUGCAUUAGAAGAGAGGGAGAGCGCCAAAAAUUCAGGUGGCAAAGAUCAGCACCGAAACUAGGAGGAGAGAAGGGGUAGCAGAACAAUUCGUAAAAAAAUCGAAAGAGAAAAUGCAAGUAUGAGUAACGAACAUAAAGAAAAAAGUAUGAACCGAAAAGCCCAAGGAGUAAAAGGAAGCAGCCCCUAAGUCAAGACAUCCGAAAGGAGAGAAACGAUGGGAAAAAAAGAGGGAGAGUAUCGGGAAAAGCCGCUUUUUAAAAAACUGUACCAAUCUGACACAAGUGGGCAAGUAGAGAAUACAAAGGUGAAUGAAGAAGAAUCCUUAAGGAACUCGGCAAAAAGUCUCAAUAAGGGAACGAGAAUGAGACCAGGGAAGGAGCAUAGAAUCGGGAAGGCCGACUGUUUACCAAAAACAUAGCUUUUAGCAAACACGAAAGUGGAAGUAAUAGAAGCGACCCCUGCCCAAUGAUUGUAUCCGAAAUGCAGAUAUGAAAGUAUAGGCAAUAAGGGCAAUUAAAUGGCCGCAGUAACUCUGACUGUGAAAAUGUAGCGCAAUCAAUAGUCAAUUAAUUGUUGACAGGUAUGAAAGGGGGAACGAGUUUUCCACUGUCUCAAGGAUUCAUCGCGUGAAAUUGGAGACGUAGUGAAGAUACUAUGAAAAGAUCGUCACGGGACAAGAAGACCCUGUCAGCUUAACUGUUAAGAUGAUCGGCGAUGGAAGGCAAAGGAGAGUAGUAAGAACUGGGAAAUCUAAAGAGACAAAUGAAAAACCAGGAUCCGGGGCCAAACAAAGCUAAACAUUAUAACAAUAGAAAAUAUGAAAAAUCAUAAGAGACAGUUUGGUUGGGGCGACAGCCUUUUAAAAGGUAACAAAGGUUUACAAAGGUAGACAAAGAAGUGUAAUAGCAAAAGUCUGCUUGACUGUGAGUAGGAUAUUACGAGCAGGGACGAAAGUCGGUUAUAGUGACCAGCUAGAAGGGAAUGGAAAAGCUAGCAAUCAGAAGGGAAGUUACGACAGGGAUAACAGGGUAAUAUCGCCUAAGAGUCCAUAUCGACGGCGAAGUUUGCCACCUCGAUGUUGAAUCAGCGCAGCUCGGGGGUGAAGAAGCUCCCAAGAGUUGGACUGUUCGUCCAUUAAAGCGCUACGUGAUUUGAGUUCAAACCGUUGUAAAACAGGUUGGAUUAUAUCUGUGAUGAGAGAGAAACAAAGAUCAAGAUUUAGAUUGUACGCAAGGACCUCUAAGUCUGUCCCUCUGAUGUACCUGUUGUCGAGAGGCAUAGCAGGGUAGUUACGGACAAACGGAUAAGAGCUGAAAGCAACUGAAGCACGAAGCCGAAGAAAGAAAGUUUCAAGGAUAGCAGGAGACUACUGCGAAGAUAGGCUGUGUGUGAAAGCAGAACAGUACUAAGAAUCCGGGCACUUAAACCCAAAAAAAAGAUAGC